Molecule: long non-coding RNA, 1188 nt
Organism: Lepisosteus oculatus (spotted gar)
Lineage: Eukaryota; Metazoa; Chordata; Actinopteri; Semionotiformes; Lepisosteidae
Source: Ensembl
CUCUGGCUCCCCGUGUCCCUGGAUUGGAUGAAGAGGCCAGAAGAUGGAUGGAUGUAGUAACAGAGCACAGAUUGCAUUCUGCUGUUCACCUCGUCCUCCCUGCGGUCUGGAUUUCACCCCUCGUGAUUUUCACUCUUCCGGCUGGAAAGAUGUUCUCCGAGGUGGCAGACUUGCCAGAAAUCACACAGUACACCAAGAGGCUCAGGUGCAGACGGCACAAUUCCGCUAGUGUGGCAUCAUGAAACCCGGCCGGAUUCCAGGAGUCUUUUCCUGCCUGCAGCGAGUGACGGGGCAGCAGUCGGAAAGGGCUCUCUCUCUCUCUCCUGCUGUCACCUUGACCGGCACACCCAGCGGUCAAGCGCAGGACCUGCAGCAGCUCUCUGGACUACUCCUGCUUGGAUCUGCUCCUCUAGGGGAAAGGGGGUGUCCCUGAAGAAGUCUUGCAAAAUGGGGUUUCAGCAAGAGUUUUCAAUUCUUAACUUUUUAUGUUUUAAAAAAGAACAGGACCAGCCCUUUUCAUUCCCUUGACAUCGGAGUCCUCUUGUCAGAAACGCAGUGCAUCUGCAGCUGGCUUCGAGAGCACCACAUCUCAUUGUGAAAGUCGUAGUGCUCCAGGAGACGCACAGCAAGCUCCUGGAUUGACAUCCAGCUGGCCUGGGUGAGGUAACGGGUAAAUCACAGGUGCCCCAGCCUGCCCCUCGCCAGUCUUUCCAGCCAGCCAGCUGCUCUGCGAGUCGUGGGCUUCAGAGUGGACCGGACUUUCAUUUGUUUAAAACCUCUGUGAACUCAAGCAACCCUGCAGUGUGAUCUCUUUGGCUUGUGAAGGGAUUCAUUCCUUAUUCAAACAUUUGCUUCACAUUGUUCGAGUUUUGAUUUUUUCCUGCAUUAUCUCUAGCUCCUGUGUAGCAAUCUUUAACCUAUUGCUUUUUCUGACAAUCACAGGUGCACACUUGUGUAGCUUCUGCAGGGGGCACCACUGUUUCUCAGCCCACACAGACUCCCAAGUCAGAGACAGAGCUGGACCCCUGUUGUUUUUCAAGGCAGGCUUGCUAGCACUGGUGUCAGAGGUGGAGUCUGCUGCAUAUCCCUUCCACUGAGCCUGCCAUGGCUUCCUGUGCAUCAGGCCUUGUACAGCUUCAGUGAGUUUGAGCUCUACUGCAUAAGACUUGAUUGUACAAUGACUCAUCA